CUGAACUCAGUAUGCAGGAAACAAAAGAUGAAUGGUCUUUCAUAAACAUGUUUUUAUAACAUAAUCUGCACAUAUAAACAACUGGCAGUACAUCCUUUUGGGAUUCUUGUGAGCCAGGAUUUUCAAAGCUACAGAGAAUGGAUUGAGUUUCGGAAUUAUUUCCCAAUUUUGUGCUGUUUGGAGGAAACAUCUGUUUACUGUAUGUAAAUGAACAAGACAUUCUGUUCUUUUAGGGACGCAACAAAGAGCCCUUAAAGUGAGCCAAUUUGGCAAAUACGGAAACAUAGCCUCUUGAAAAGGACAACAAAUGAAGUCUAGCAAGAGAUUUUGUAAAAGAUAGCCGCUAUUUUCUUUCUUGAAAAUUUCUAUAUUUGGAUCAAACAAGGAAUGGAUAUUUCCUCUUUGAUGAAAAACCUGUCGAGAGCCUUUUGGCCUUUUGCUCUUCUUGCUGCCCUUUUUUUUUUUUUUUUUUUUUCUUCCUCUUCUAGUCAUCAGACAGACUGAAGUUAGAAAACAGAUUUGCAGCGUGGAAGAAGUGUGUGGCAGACGGCGAGGCAGCUCGGCAGUAAAUCUUAGCUCAGUUAAUAUUUCCACAUGUCUGGUGGAUAACCUUGGAAGGCCAAGAGUCCAGACAGUUUGAAGCAGUGUUCUACAGAGAAAGAGAACCAGAAGGAACUAUAUAUAUAAGAAGAAAAUUAUUUAUUAUGGGAAUUGGAUCACCUGAUGAUGGAGUCUGAGAGUUGCUGAUGUGCCAUCUGCAAGCUGGAGAACCAGGAAAACUGGCAGUAUAAUUUAGUUCAAGCAUCAACUGAUGGUGUAACUCCCAGUCUGGAAUGAAAAUCUGAGAACCAAGGAAGUACUGGAGCAGCCAAUGAAAUUUGGAGGAUCCACAUAAGGGCAAAAAAUCCCACACAGCCAGAAAUUGUGUAAGAUUCAGAGCAAACAAAACUUGGAUCUACCCCUAGGAGUCAGGGUUUGGAGAACUUCUAGAUUGCUGAACAUCUCCAUGUGCCAGGAGGGUGGUGGACUCCAGCUCCAUAGGAACAGACACUCCUGUGCUUUGGACCCUUCUGGACCUCACCCUAUAUAACAUGCCCUCUGUUAUAUUCUAUGAACUGUUCUAGUAAACGUACUAUCCAUUCAAUCAACCCAAAGAGGCUAUGCCCAAACAAUGGAAUACUAAUUAGCACUAAAAUGACCUAUUGAGCCAUGAAAACAUUAUGUAUGAAACUGAAAUGCAUAUUACUGAGUAAAGAAGCCAAUCUGAAAGACUACUUACUGUGUGUUUCAGCUAUAUGACAUUCUAGAAAAGACAAAACCAUGGAAGCAGUAAAAAUAACAGGGAUUGCCAGGGGGUGGUGGAGAGGGGAUAGAUAAGUGGGAUACAGAGGAUUUUAAGGGUAGUAAAAAUAUUCUGCAUGAUACCAUAAUGGUGGAUACAUGUCAUCAUAUAUUUUGUCCAAACCCAUAGACUGUACAACACCAAGAGUGAACCCUACUGUAAACAAUGGACUUUGAGUGAUCAUCAUGUGUCAUUGUAGGCUCAUCAGUUGUAACAUAUCUACCACUCUGGUGGGGGAUAUUGAAAAUGGUCAAGACUCUUUAGGUAUGAGGGCAAGGGGUAAAUGAGAAAUCUGUAUUUUUAAAAAAACUAUUUUAUUUAUUUAUUCAUGAGAGACACAGAGAGAGGGAGGCAGAGACAUAGGCAGAGGGAGAAGCAGGCUUCCC
Molecule: long non-coding RNA, 1728 nt
Organism: Canis lupus familiaris (dog)
Lineage: Eukaryota; Metazoa; Chordata; Mammalia; Carnivora; Canidae
Exons: 5
Source: RefSeq, a predicted model, not a curated record